UGGGCCAGCGUGUGGCGUUUGCAAGUUCUCCCUGUGUCUACGUGGGUUUUCUCGGGUCCUCUGGCUUCCUCCCACAUCCCAAAGGAGGGCACAGGAGGCCAAUGCCGGGAGCGAGUGUGCCCUGCGACGGAAGGCCAGCUCGUCCACGUGGGUUUCUGCCUGUGGAUUCCCGCCCAGCGCCCCGAGCUGCCGGAAGAGGCUUCCGUGACCUGGAAGUAGAAUCAAGGCGUUGGAAAAUAAGCAUGUUGUUCUGAUCUCUUCUUAAAUGGUAUCCCUCUUCCCAGUGAGUGUUCUGUGAAAACGUUAAGGUGGCAAUCUCCGGUGAUUUUCUGCCCUCCCACGACACCUGGUGCAGCGUCAUGUUGGUGGGGAGAACCAGACAAGAGGAAAUCCUGGAUGGAUCCUGGCGAGCGAUAGGCAGAAAAUAAGAGUUGAUUACUUGCAGUUGGUGACAGUGUCUUGCUGCUGCUGAAGAAUCCAGCCCAAGUCGCUGGCCCCAUAAUCCAUUGCUCAACUUCAUUAACCACAGGAAGACAUUAAGUGAAUGUAAGGACCGGAACAGCUUGGAAACCACGUGACGAGCAACCUUUAAGUUCUGGGCUCUGGUAUAUUUUAUGUCACCUCAACUGUGCAUCAAGCUUGCCUUCCUGGACUCAUUAGAACUGUGUGCCCAAAGGUGCCCCUCAACUUUCAGAAGCAAAUAGAGAAUGAUAUAAUUCGCUCUGAGAACACCUUUCUGUCUUAUUCGGAGCAUGUCUUAUCUAUUAUGAUUAGGCAUUAAGCAUCCUAUUGUCCUGAAAAUUUCAUGAGAUUCUACCCCUGCUUGCUAGGAUUAUGUCAAAGUGACUUGUCCCAGAUGCUGUU
This is a long non-coding RNA of Pteropus alecto (black flying fox), 864 nucleotides long. RefSeq lists it as uncharacterized. NCBI's taxonomy places the organism in Eukaryota, Metazoa, Chordata, Mammalia, Chiroptera, Pteropodidae. The transcript is spliced from 3 exons. The record is from RefSeq and is a predicted model, not a curated record.